UACGUAGGGGGCAAGCGUUGUCCGGAAUCAUUGGGCGUAAAGCGCGUGUAGGCGGCCAGAAAAGUCCGCUGUGAAAACUCGAGGCUCAACUUCGAGCUGUCGGUGGAAACUUUCUGGCUAGAGUCCGGAAGAGGAGAAUGGAAUUCCUGGUGUAGCGGUGAAAUGCGCAGAUAUCAGGAGGAACACCAAUGGCGAAGGCAGAUCUCUGGGCCGUAACUGACGCUGAGGAGCGAAAGCAUGGGGAGCGAACAGG
Molecule: ribosomal RNA, 253 nt
Filed under: uncultured bacterium
Lineage: Bacteria
Description: partial 16S ribosomal RNA
Rfam family: Bacterial small subunit ribosomal RNA
Source: RNAcentral